GACGAACGCUGGCGGCGUGCCUAAUACAUGCAAGUUGAGCGAUGAAGAUUGGUGCUUGCACCAAUUUGAAGAGCAGCGAACGGGUGAGUAACGCGUGGGGAAUCUGCCUUUGAGCGGGGGACAACAUUUGGAAACGAAUGCUAAUACCGCAUAAUAACUUUAAACAUAAGUUUUAAGUUUGAAAGAUGCAAUUGCAUCACUCAAAGAUGAUCCCGCGUUGUAUUAGCUAGUUGGUGAGGUAAAGGCUCACCAAGGCGAUGAUACAUAGCCGACCUGAGAGGGUGGUCGGCCACAAUGGGACUGAGACACGGCCCAAACUCCUACGGGAGGCAGCAGUAGGGAAUUUUCGGCAAUGGACGGAAGUCUGACCGAGCAACGCCGCGUGAGUGAAGAAGGUUUUCGGAUCGUAAAACUCUGUUGGUAGAGAAGAACGUUGGGGAGAGUGGAAAGCUCAUCAAGUGACGGUAACUACCCAGAAAGGGACGGCUAACUACGUG
Molecule: ribosomal RNA, 497 nt
Filed under: uncultured bacterium
Lineage: Bacteria
Description: partial 16S ribosomal RNA
Rfam family: Bacterial small subunit ribosomal RNA
Source: RNAcentral